RNAcentral lists this long non-coding RNA (14884 nucleotides) under Gossypium barbadense (sea-island cotton). RNAcentral's name for it is "long non-coding RNA (GBAR_LNC003017)". Lineage: Eukaryota; Viridiplantae; Streptophyta; Magnoliopsida; Malvales; Malvaceae. The record is from RNAcentral.
ACGGUCCAGUAAAAAGCAUAAAGAAAGAAAUCAAAAACAAAAAACCAAAAAAACUACUAGAACAAACGGUCUUAAAACAAACUAACAUAACUAGCCCAUCUCAUCCAAAUGCAAGUAAACUAAAACAGCAAACAAAUCUUCUCCUAUGCCAGCCAAAUCUAACAGCUGGAUGCCAAUAUCUUGUGUCUUUUCACGUCAAUCAACCCAGCCACUAAUGAUAGCAGGUUUUCAAAAAUUGAAAUGAAUUCUUAUCUGCUACCUUUUAUUUCCAAACCUUUCAUUUCUUCAUUUGCUCAGUCUGGAGGCUUUAGCAGAGGGUUCUCCACAGCUUGACGAGCCAAAUCUGGAAUUCCUCCCAUCAGGUAAAAACUCUCUCUUCUUUUUAAGGCCUCCUUUACGAUAACAUGUGCGUAGAUAUUCCCUGCUUUAGGGACAUAAUAAAACUCAAUCUCCUGGAAUCUGACUUUUCUGCUUUGAAUAUCCCUGAUAAUGGCUCCAAUGACCGAUUUAUCUAUACCAGUACUCUGGCAUUUCUUAAUGACAGUUUUCGAGUCCCUCGCUACUUUUAUUUUAUUUAAUCCCAUAAGAAUCCCUAAUUUUACUGCCUGUAACACUGCAUAUGCCUCUGCCAUGAAUGGAGUUGCUAUCUCGGAGUGUAUGACUGCUUUCGAUGCAAGGAUCUCUCCCUCCUCAUUCUGUACAAGCAAACCCGUAGCCGAUCUGGACGAUUGACAGUUAAAUGCUGCAUCAAAAUGAAUUGUGACCCUUCCUCUUCUACAUUCCUGUUGGGUAUUUUUAGUAGAUUGAAGAGGAAGUUUUCUCUUUUUUAUUGCAUCCAACUCUAUGAUAUAGUUUUGAGUUUGCCUUACUAUUUCGAUUCCUGUCGUAUUUCUUCUUUCAUAUAGUAAUCGAUUUCUGUUGAACCAGAUUAACUAGAAUCCGCAACAAAAAAGUCGGAUUUGCUCAGUAGUCCAUUGGCCGAAGAUCCAGGUAAACCAUUCCCAUAUAUUCAGAUUGUUAUGGUUUAAUACCCAUGUUAGAUUUAACUGGUUCCAUACCUCAACUGUUGUAGGGCACUAUUGAAAAAUAUGAAUGUUGUCUUCUUCUCCUUGGCGACAUUUAGGGCAUUGAGCUUCCACCACAACCCUCUUAAGCUUUAGAUUGACAAGGGACUGAAUGAAGUUCCAGGAAAAUCUCUAUACUGUAAUCUGUAUUUUUGAGGGAAUUUCCAUAGUUUCCUAUAGAAGCUUUUAAUUUUGGCAUGUAAAGUAAAAUUAUUAGGAUCCAAGCUAGUUUCAUGUAAUAGUUUAUAGGCACUCUUUACAGAGAACUCCCCUAUCAACUCCCCUCUCUAUACUUGAAAAUCCUCGUGUGUCGUCUCCGCUAGUGGAAUCUUCAGGAUUUUUUCUGUUAUAUCCAUUCAAAAGGUAUUCCUUACGACCUUUGUUUUCCAACUUCUAUUAUUGGCUUCUAUUAGAUCCGAUACUAACUUGAUAUUUUCAAUGUUAUCUUGAUUUGGUACUUUAUCUACUUCGUUUCCUGAUAUCCACAAAUCGUCCCAAAUGGAUAUUUGAUCACCUCUCCCAACCCUCCAGCAUAAGCCUUUCUCCAAAAGCCCUCUCGCGACCCAAACACUCUUCUAGGUGAGCGAAGGUAAAUUUCCUAAUCGAGCUUUGUAGAAAUUCGAAUUAGGAUAAUAUUUUGCCUUCAAAAUGCGGGCUAAUAAUGAAUUUGGAUAAUUAACUAGACGCCACCCUUGCUUUGCUAAUAACGCAACAUAAAACUUCGCAAGAUCUCAAAAACCAAGGUCAUCUUCUUUUAAUAAGCAUAGAUCUUUCCAAGCGCACCAAUGAAUACCUUUCCUAUUAUGACUAUUAUCCCCUCCAAUUCAGCACAUAGAACCUUAGGAAGUAGAAAACAAGACAUCUUAUAAGUUGGGAUAGAUUGGAGAAUAGCUUUGACAAAAACUUCCUUCCCUUUGGAAGAGAUAUCUUAUACUCCAACUUUCAAUUUGUUGUUUAAAUCUAUCCUUCAAAUUUUGAAAAGACGAUCUCUUCCUUAUAACCACCAUAUUGGGAAGUCUUAGAUGCCGUUUUGGAUCGUGAAACUGUAACCCUUUCCUCUUCUUGUGUAUUGGUACUGAAGAAAAUAGAUGAUUUAUCAUAAUUGACACAUUGGCCUGAACUCAUCUCAUACUCAUUCAAUAUUUGUUUUAGAGAAUGUGCUCCCCUUUCAGUAGCUUCUGCAAAUAAGAUAUAGCCAUCGACAAAGAGUAGAUGAGAGAUGGUUGGCCCAUUUUGACUAGCUUUAACUCCUUUUAAGGAUGUUUCUUGCUUUUACAAGCCUUAUUAGACUUGAGAGCCCUUCCCCACAAAAUAGAAAUAAAAACGGACUUAAAGGGUCUCCUUUUCUAAGGCCUCUAGAUGGAAGAAAAAGUUUCUCAUAUAUUUCCAUUUAAAACUACAGAAUAUGAUACUGUAGACAUAUUUCAUUAACAGAUCAACCUAUCCUGGAUCAAAUCUCAUUUUCUUUAUCACCCCCUCCACAAAAUUCCUUUCAUCCUUAUCAUAUGCCUUACUGAUGUCUAGUUUCACAGCCAUAAGCCCUUUUAUCCCUCUCUUCUUGUGUUUUAAAGUGUGCAGAAUUUCAUACGCUAAUAACACAUUAUCAAAAAUUAGCCUCCCUGGAGCAAAGCACUUUGUGCUAAAUCGAUACAUUUAUGAAUCACUACUCGAAGCCGAUUAACAAUGACCUUAGCUAUCAAUUUAUAAAGCACAUUGCAUAAACUAAUUGGUCUAAAUUGUGUAAUACUAGAAGGAUUCGUAAUUUUUGGGAUUAACACUAUUUUUUUUCUUGAUCGAAUGAAAUUCCAUACCUUCAUUUAAUCUUUGAAGGCAAAAAGUAGAGACAUCCUCUCUAAAGAUUGGCCAGCAUUUUUGAUAAAUAAGGCUGGAAACCCAUUCUCUCUUGGAGCUUUUGUAGAACCCAUUUAUGAUAGAGCUUCUUUUAUCUCUUCUUUGGUGUAACUUGCCUUUAAUUUAUAAUUAUCUUCCUCAGAAAUAUAGUAGUCAAUUCCUGACAAGAUUUUAUCAUGGUUAUCUCAUCUUUCUGCUAAAAAUAACUUCAUAAAAUACAAUUUGGCAAUUUCCUCCAUCUCUCUAAACUCCACUGUCUCUUUACCAUCUUCAAAUUGCAUUUUGUGGAUAAAAUUUUGUUUCCAUCUUUGUGUCACUUGCUUAUGAAAAAACGUUGUAUUUUUGUCUCCAAGUUUCAACCAAUUUAAUCGGGCCCUCUGUUCCCAGUAGCAUUCAUCAUUUUCUAUCUCGAAGUUCAAAUGGAUCUUAGUAUCUAUAAGCUCUGUCAAAUUCUGAUCACUUCCAUCAUAUUCCAGUAACGUUGCUAACUUUGAAGUUAGAACCUCUGUUUUCAUUUUUUUACUCCAUCGAAUCUGACGUGCCCAGCUUUCUAAACCUCUUUUCAGAUUUUCCAAUUUACUCAAAAGAUCUCUUAUGGAAUUUUCCCAAAGACGCCUAGCUUUCUCAAAAAAUGUUUCCUCCAAAACCCAAAACCCACCUGGCUUCAAACUUAAAAUUUUUAUUAAGCAGCCUUCUAGCUCCAUAUUCUGUAUUAAUAAGAAGUGGACAAUGUAAUAUCCUGAAUUAGGGCUUAAUCGAAAUAGUGGUUUCGUGACCACAAAUCUGAGAUAGAAAUAAUAAUUUUAUAAUUAUUUUGAUGAUUAUGAUAUGAUUGCAUGAUUGUGUGAAAAUUUCGUGAAGAAAUUUUAUGCCUAAAAUGCUUAAAUUGAAAGUAGGGACUAAAUCGAAUAAGUUGUAAAACUUACAUUCUAGAAAUUUUUAGUAUAAAAUUGUUUUAGAAUAUUAAUGAGGAUUAAAAUAGAAAUUUGACCAAUUUUAAGUUCAUGGACAAAAUUAGAACAUGGAAAGAAUUUUUGGAAAGUUUAGUAGUAAGGGUAUUUUGGUCAUUUAAUUAUUAAAAUGAAUUAAAAAUAAAAUUAAAAGUUAAUUUUUGUCCAUCUUCUUCAUUAGGCCGAAAUUUUAAGGGUUUUCUAUAGCUAGGGUUUGUUUUAAGCUUCUAAGCUUCAUAAUAAGUGAUUUCAAGCCCCGUUUUUAAUGUUCUUUACGUUUUCAGAAUCCCGGUAGUUCAAUUAAGCUUAUGUUAGCAAUAAUUCAACCUAGGGUUUAUAUUUGAAAAAAUACUCAUAGGUGAAAUUUGUGUAUUAUGAUGUUUUAUGAUAGAAUAUGAGGUUUUAAAUUAUGUCAAAUUCUCAUCACUUCCAUCAUAUUCCAGUAAUGUUGCUAACUUUGAAGUUAGAACCUCUGUUUUCAUUUUUUUACUCCAUCAAAUCUGACGUGCCCAGUUUUCUAAACCUCUUUUCAGAUUUUCCAAUUUACUCAAAAGAUCUCUUAUGGAAUUUUCCCAAAGACGCCUAGCUUUCUCAAAAAAUGUUUCCUCCAAAACCCAAAACCCACCUGGCUUCAACUUAAAAUUUUUAUUGAGCAGCCUUCUAGCUCCAUAUUCUGUAUUAAUAAGAAGUGGACAAUGUAAUAUCCUGAAUUAGGGCUUAAUCGGAAUAGUGGUUUCGUGACCACAAAUCUGAGAUAGAAAUAAUAAUUUUAUAAUUAUUUUGAUGAUUAUGAUAUGAUUGCAUGAUUGUGUGAAAAUUUCGUGAUGAAAUUUUAUGCCUAAAAUGCUUAAAUUGAAAGUAAGGACUAAAUCGAAUAAGUUGUAAAACUUGCAUUCUAGAAGUUUUUAGUAUAAAAUUGUUUUGGAAUAUUAAUGAGGAUUAAAAUAGAAAUUUGACCAAUUUUAAGUUCAUGGACAAAAUUAGAACAUGGAAAGAAUUUUUGGAAAGUUUAGUAGUAAGGGUAUUUUGGUCAUUUAGUUAUUAAAAUGAAUUAAAAAUAAAAUUAAAAGCUAAUUUUUGUCCAUCUUCUUCAUUAGGCCGAAAUUUCAAGGGUUUUCUAUAGCUAGGGUUUGUUUCAAGCUUCUAAGUUUCAUAAUAAGUGAUUUCAAGCCCCAUUUUUAAUGUUCUUUACGUUUUCAGAAUCCCGGUAGUUCGAUUAAGCUUAUGUUAGCAAUAAUUCAACCUAGGGUUUAUAUUUGAAAAAAUACCCAUAGGUGAAAUUUGUGUAUUAUGAUGUUUUAUGAUAGAAUAUGAGGUUUUAAAUUAUGUCAAAUUCUCAUCACUUCCAUCAUAUUCUAGUAACGUUGCUAACUUUGAAGUUAGAACCUCUGUUUUCAUUUUUUUACUCCAUCAAAUCUGACGUGCCCAGCUUUCUAAACCUCUUUUCAGAUUUUCCAAUUUACUCAAAAGAUCUCCUAUGGAAUUUUCCCAAAGACGCCUAGCUUUCUCAAAAAAUGUUUCCUCCAAAACCCAAAACCCACCUGGCUUCAAACUUAAAAUUUUUAUUAAGCAGCCUUCUAGCUCCAUAUUCUGUAUUAAUAAGAAGUGGACAAUGUAAUAUCCUGAAUUAGGGCUUAAUCGGAAUAGUGGUUUUGUAAUCACAAAUCUGAGAUAGAAAUAAUAAUUUUAUAAUUAUUUUGAUGAUUAUGAUAUGAUUGCAUGAUUGUGUGAAAAUUUCGUGAUGAAAUUUUAUGCCUAAAAUACUUAAAUUGAAAGUAGGGACUAAAUCGAAUAAGUUGUAAAACUUGCAUUCUAGAAGUUUUUAGUAUAAAAUUGUUUUGGAAUAUUAAUGAGGUCUAAAAUAGAAAUUUGACCAAUUUUAAGUUCAUGGACAAAAUUAGGACAUGGAAAGAAUUUUUGGAAAGUUUAGUAGUAAGGGUAUUUUGGUCAUUUAGUUAUUAAAAUGAAUUAAAAACAAAAUGAAAAGCUAAUUUUUGUCCAUCUUCUUCAUUAGGCUGAAAUUUCAAGGGUUUUCUAUAGCUAGGGUUUGUUUCAAGCUUCUAAGCUUCAUAAUAAGUAAUUCCAAGCCCCAUUUUUAAUAUUCUUUACGUUUUUAGAAUCCCGGUAGUUCGAUUAAGCUUAUGUUAGCAAUAAUUCAACCUAGGGUUUAUAUUUGAAAAAAAUACCCAUAGGUGAAAUUUGUGUAUUAUGAUGUUUUAUGAUAGAAUAUGAGGUUUUAAAUUAUGUUAGACAACUUGUGCUACUCGGUUUUGAGUGAAAACGAGUAAAAGGGCUUAAUCGACAAAAAUACCUAAUAGUCACAAGUAUAUGUUAGAGAGAGAAUUUGAUGUUGCCAUAGAAGGAAAAACUGAUCAGCAUGUUAUAAAAUAUAAGAAUAAGGAAUAAAGUUUAAUUCCCGAGCCUAGAGGCAAAAGUUUAAUUAUGCAAAAAUUUAGGGGCAAAAGUGUAAUUUUUUUAAAGUUCGUAUUAAAUGCUGUUUUAAUGAAUGUAUGUAUUAAAUAAGAUUAAUUUGGUAUUAUAGAUCAAUAAAAAUGAGAUUCAAGUCGCGAUCGAGGAAAAGAAAAGAUUGUGGACUAAAUUGUAAAAUUUUUAUAUUUUGGUACCAAGGUAAGUUCAUGUGUAAAUGUAGUAAAAUAAUUGUCAUUUUAAGCAAUUUAAUGUUUAUAUGAUAUGAUGUUGAUUAUUAUCAUGAAAUAUUAUGCUUUGUGGUUAUUGUUGAAUAAUAUGUAAUUAUAUGAAUUACUUGAUGAGUAUGAACUAUCAUCGAAGUACCGAUUUCGAUAAUCCGUGGAAGGCGGCAAAGAUGUGUCAUCGAGGAAAACGUCCGUUUGAACCUUAGGAAUAUAUUAGGAUACAAGUGACAUGUCACUAGAAUGGUUGAGCAUCUGAACUCGUUGAGUUGAGUCCGAGUUCACUUAUUGAUGCGAAUGUCUGAACUCGUUGAUUUGAGUCCGAGUUCGUGAAAUGUAACUAGGCAUCCGACCUCGUUGAGUUGAGUUCGAGUUCACUUAUGGAUGCGAACGCCCGAGCUCGUUGAGUUGAGUCUGAGUUCACUUAUGGGCGGGUUACAUGGUAGCUUAAUUAUAUAUGAGGCAUUUAUGUGCAAAUUAUCCGUGUAUCCAAGUUGUAUUUCGAUGUGUUCAACGGGUGAAAUUUCUAGUGAAAUGGAAGAACACUUAAGAUGCAAGCGAUGUUUUGGUAAGUGUUGUGAAAUGGAAACUUUGGACAGGUAUGUUCUUAACCCUCGGGUUGAAAAUAGAUACAACAAUGAUAAGGUGGUAAGAUGAGGAAUGAUGUUUAGAAAUGUGAUAUAUGUUUUGGUGAUACCAUGCUAAAAUUGUUUGGUAUAUUUGUAUUGUUAUGUUACUUGUUAUUUACAUAUGAACUUACUAAGCAUUUAUGCUUACUCUCUCCUUUUUAUUUACUGUAGUUUUGAACAAGUCAGCUCGGGAAUCAGGACGAGUCGAAGGUUCGAUCACACUAUCCAAAGGACUUUCAUCUGGGUAAAUGGCUUGUAAAACUUAAGUAUGGCAUGUAUAGCAAUAUACUUAUUUUGUGUAAAUAAUUUUAUGAUAUGGCCAUGUUUGGUUGAGAAAAUGUUUGAUAUUGAUAAGUCAUUAUGAUGGCUAAUUUAGACCAUGUUUGAUAUUAUGAAGUUUAAUAGGUUAUCUAGUUCAUAAAAAUUCAUGGAAAGAUGAAACUUGCCUUAAAACAGAAUAUUGAUGCAGCAAUGACAUGAAUUUAAAAAAUCACUAAAAAUAGUAUAAAUGGAAAUAAAUGAUGAGUAAGUUAUGAAAUUGAAGCUUAAUGAGUCUAUUUUCAUGUGGAUUGAACAAAACAGGUAUAUAAAUUAUAUUUUAUGAGAUAUUUAAACUUUUGUGAAACAGGACCAGAGUGAUUUCUGGAUCCCCUGUUCUGAUUUUAAAAAUUCAUAAUAAAUUUUACAAAAAUAAUUAGAAGUUGUUUUUUAUAUUUACAGGUUCUUUAUUGAGUCUAGUUUUAAGAGAAAAAACCUCAGUCAUUUAAUUUCUGUAUAGAGAAAUAUCUGAUUCGUAAUACACAGAUGUCAGAGCAGUCGAACCUUGAAACAGGGGAAACUUUAACUAAUAAACUGUACUAAUUGGCCCAACCAAAAAUUCUAGAAAAAAAUUAGUAAAUAGAUAUAUGAGUCUAUAUUUAGGGAAAAUUUACAGAUAUAGAUUUCGAGUUUCGUAACUCAAGAUAUGAUUUUUCUUGUAACUGUGACGCGGGUAGUUAGAAAGCUGUGAAUGUAGAAAUAAACGAUUUGAAGUUCUUAAUUUGAUAAAUAUUGUUCGGUAACCCCUCAAGCUCGACUCCGGCGAUGGUCUCGGGCGUGGGGGCGUUACAUUUAAUGGUAUCAGAGCAGGUUUAGUCGGUUCUCGGACUACGUGUUGUAUGUACAGAUUUUGCUAUACAUGCCAUAUGUAUGAAUUGUGAUAGUGUGACGACUUCUGACAUUUUUAAAUGAUUUUUAUAUAGUAAAUGGAUCCCGAUCCAGCUGUGGCAGAUGAAGUAGAGAGUAAUGCGCCAGCUCCGGCUGAAGGGGCAGCGCCGACUGAAAACCCACCUCCUACUGUUGGUCAGGGAGGAGGAGAAAGGGAUCGGGAAGCCUUUCUCCAAAUGAUGAGUGCAUGGUACACUGAGUUCGUUCGUACGAACCCAAAUGUACGACCUCCCCCACCUCCCCCAAUUCCUCAACCUAUGCCUCCGAUGCCUCAAGGAGUGGAUAUGAUAAAAUUUAAUAAAACCCCCGUUGAUAGAAUUCGUAAACAAGGGGCUGAAGAAUUUAGAGCAAAUAUUGAUGAUGAUGCAGAGAAAGCAGAGUUCUAGCUUGAAAAUUCUGUCCGGGUAUUUGAUGAAUUAUCUUGUACACCUGAAGAAUGUUUGAAAUGUGCUACAUCUUUGUUGAGAGAUUCAGCCUAUAAUUGGUGGAAGACUUUGAUUUCGGUGGUACCGAACGAGAGGGUAACCUGAGAAUUCUUUCAAGAAGAGUUUCGGAAGAAAUAUAUUAGUGAAAGAUUUAUUGAUCAGAAAUGUAAAGAGUUUCUUGAGCUGAAGCAAGGUAAUAUGACAAUCUCAAAAUAUGAAAGAGAGUUUGUUCGAUUAAGUAUGCCAGGGAAUAUGUUCUUACAGAAGCCAAGAUGUGCCGACGAUUUGAAGACGGGCUCAACGAAGACAUUAAGGUAUUUGUCGGGAUCCUUGAACUGAAAGAAAUGGUAGUACUGGUUGAUCGAGCUUGUAAGGCUGAAGAACUACUAAAGGAAAAGAAAAAGGUAGAAUCUGAAACACGAAAUUGGAAGAAAAGACCAAUGAGUAAUGCACCUUCACAGCAACCCGAAAAGUCAAGAAAUAUGAAUCCUCGUUCCCAAGUUUCAGCUGGGUAAUCAUAUGGAAAUUUUAAGAAGCAGAAUGUGGGUCCUAAAUCUCAGACUACUUCUGCGGCUAGUGUGGGAAAUACGAGAUUUUUUAAACCCGAGUGCCAGCGGUGUGGUAGAAAUCAUUUUGGUCCGUGCAGAGCAAAUGAAUGUUUUCGAUGUGGUUCUCCGAAUCAUUUUAUUAGAGACUGCCCAUAGAGAGCUGAGAAAGAAAAAUUUCAGAGUGUAAAAGCUAGUGGUGUAAACUCGAGGGGAAGGUAUUCGAGAAAAGCUGGAAGUGAAACAAGCAGUAGGAAUGUAGCCAGAGAUGCAGAAGUUAGAUCUGAGGGAAGAGCUCCGGCUAGAACUUAUGCUAUUAAAGCGCGUGAAGAUGCUUCCUCACCCGAUGUGAUUACUGGUACAUUCUCUUUAUGAUAUUAAUGUUAUUGCUUUGAUUGAUCCUGGUUCUACUCAUUCAUAUGUAUGCAUGAAACUGGUGUCUAGUAUGAAUAUACCUGUUGAGAACACAGAAUUUAUGAUUAGAGUGUCGAAUCCACUAGGCAAAUGCGUGAUAGUUGAUAAAAUAAGUAAGAAAUGCCCUUUAAUGAUUCGGGGUCAUUACUUUUCGGCCGACUUGAUGAUGUUGCCGUUUGAUGAAUUUGAUGUUAUUUUGGGUAUGGAUUGGUUGACAUUGCAUGAUGCUAUAAUAAAUUACAAAGAAAAGGUUAUAGAAUUAAAGUGUGAAAGUGGUGAAAUUCUGCGGGUUGAGCCAGACAAAUCAAAGGCAUUAUCUAGUAUUUCUUCGAUGUCGGCUCAGAGAUAUUUGAGAAAGGGUUAUGAAGCUUAUUUGGCGUAUGUAAUUAAUACAAAAGAAUUUGAAAAAAAAGUUGAAUUAGUGCCGGUUGUGUGUGAAUUUGCGGACGUAUUUCUAGAAAAAUUACCGGGUUUGCCUCCAGUCAGGGAAGUAGAAUUUGGUAUAGAUUUGAUACCGGGAACAGCUCCGAUCUCGAUUGCUCCAUAUAGAAUGGCACCAACAGAGUUGAAAGAAUUAAAGUCGCAGUUGCAAGAGUUGACUGAUAAAGGCUUUGUGAGAUCGAGUUUUUCACCUUGGGGUGCUCCCGUGUUAUUUGUGAAAAAGAAGGAUGGUUCUAUGAGAUUAUGUGUUGAUUAUCGGCAGUUAAACAAGGUGACAAUAAAAAACAAGUAUCUGUUGCCGAGAAUUGAUGAUUUGUUUGAUCAGCUAAAAGGAACGACAUGGUUUUCAAAGAUUGACUUGAGAUCUGGGUAUUAUCAGCUGCGAGUAAAAGAGUCAGAUGUGCCUAAAACUGCUUUUAGAACAAGGUACGGUCAUUAUGAAUUUUUAGUUAUGCCGUUCGGGUUGACAAAUGCUCCUGCUGUGUUUAUGGACUUAAUGAAUUGCAUAUUUCGGCCAUACCUGGACAGAUUUAUUGUGGUGUUUAUAGAUGAUAUUUUAAUUUAUUCAAAAGAUGAGACAGAGCAUGCUGAGCAUUUGAGGAUAAUUUUGCAAACUUUGAGAGAUAAGCAGCUGUAUGUUAAGUUUAGUAAAAGUGGAUUUUGGCUCCGGGAAGUUGGAUUUUUGGGUCAUAUUGUUUCAGGUGAUGGUAUAUGGGUUGAUCCUAGUAAAAUUUCAGCCAUUGUUGAUUGGAAACCACCGAAAAACGUAAUUGAAGUUAGAAGUUUCUUGGGGCUAGCUGGGUAUUAUCGGCGGUUCGUAAAUGGAUUUUCUAUAAUUGCUACUCCUAUGACUAGACUACUCCGAAAGGAUGUUAAAUUUGAAUGGACGUAAGAAUGUCAACAGAGUUUCGAAGAAUUGAAAAAGUUAUUAACUGAAGCACCAGUAUUGAUACAACCCGAAUCAGGUAAAGAAUUCGUGGUGUAUAGUGAUGCUUCUCUAAAUGGUUUGGGGUGUGUACUCAUGCAAAAAGGAAAAGUGGUGGCUUAUGCUUCGAGACAGUUAAAACCUCAUGAGAAGAAUUAUCCUACUCACGAUUUGGAAUUGGCUGCGGUGGUAUUUGCUUUGAAGAUUUGGCGACAUUAUUUGUAUGGUGAAAAGUGCCGAGUAUAUACCGAUCACAAAAGUCUUAAAUACUUGAUGUCACAAAAAGACUUGAAUUUGAAACAACGAAGAUGGUUAGAGUUAUUGAAAGAUUAUGAGCUUGUUAUCGAUUAUCAUCCGGGAAAAGCGAAUGUGGUUGCCGAUGCUUUAAGCAGAAAGUUGUUGUUUGCUUUGAGAGUUAUGAACACUCAAUUGAAAAUUUCAAAUGACGGUUCGAUUCUAGCAGAGUUAAGAGCAAGACCGAUGUUUUUACAAGAGAUUUCUGAAGCUGAAAAAAAUGAUCAAGAUUUGCUAGCCAAAAGAAAACAGUGUGAAGCUGAUACGGGAUCAAAUUUCAGAAUCGGUUCUAAUGGUUGUUUGAUGUUUAAAAAUCAGAUUUGUGUAUCGAAAAAUGAUGAGUUGAUUCAAAAGAUUUUGCAUAAAGCACAUAAUAGUUGUUUAGCGGUUCAUCCGGGCAGUACGAAGAUGUAUAAUGACUUGAAGAAAAUGUACUGGUGGAGUGGAAUGAAAAGAGAUAUUUCCGAGUUUGUAUCAAAGUGCUUAGUUUGUCAACAAGUGAAAGCUGAACACCAAGUACCUUCGGGAUUACUUCAGCCUAUUAUGGUUCCUGAAUGGAAAUGAGAUCGGAUUACUAUGGAUUUUAUAUCAGGGUUGCCGUUAACUCCAGGGAAGAAAAAUGCAUCAGGACAAUAGUUGACAGACUGACUAAAUCGGCUCAUUUUAUUCCGGUACGUACAGAUUAUUCUCUUAAUAAGUUAGCUGAAUUGUAUAUCCGAGAGAUUGUUAGACUUCAUGGGAUACCUCUGUCAAUCAUUUCGGAUAGAGAUCCGAGGUUUACCUCACGGUUUUGGAAAAAGUUGCAAGAAGCAUUAGGUACAAAGUUAAAUUUCAGCACUGCCUUUCAUCCACAAACUGAUGGACAAUCAAAGAGAGUAAUUCAGAUUCUUGAAAACAUGCUCAGAUGUUGCGUAUUGGAAUUUCAAAAUAGUUGGGAAAGGUACUUACCAUUGGUAGAAUUUGCUUAUAAUAAUAGUUAUCAGGCAAGUUUGAAGAUGGCACCUUAUGAAGCAUUAUAUGGUCGUAAAUGUCGGACGCCAUUGUAUUGGACUGAACUCAAGGAAAGUCAAAUUUAUGGAGUUGAUUUAAUAAAAGAAACCGAAGAAAAGGUGAAAGUGAUUCGAGAUUGUUUGAAAGCUGCUUCAGAUAGACAGAAAUCUUAUGCGGAUUUGAAACGAAAAGAAAUGGAGUUUCAAGUUGGUGAUAAGGUAUUUUUGAAAGUGUCUCCAUGGAAGAAAGUCCUUAGAUUUGGACGAAAGGGCAAGUUAAGUCCGCGUUUUAUUGGACCGUAUGAAAUAAUUGAAAAAGUUGGACCGGUAGCAUAUCAGCUAGCGUUACCACCUGAAUUAGAGAAGAUUCAUGAUGUGUUUCAUGUAUUUAUGUUACGUCGGUAUCGUUCGGAUCCUUCACAUAUAAUUUCACCGACAGAAGUUAAACUACGACCGGAUAUGACUUAUGAAGAAGAACCGAUUAAGAUUUUAGCUCGAGAAGUCAAACAACUAAGAAAUAAAAGUGUUGCACUUGUGAAAGUGUUGUGGCAAAAGCAUGGGGUAGAAGAGACUACAUGGGAACCUAAAGAAACUAUGAGAAACCAAUAUCCACACCUGUUUACCGGUAAGAUUUUCGAGGACGAAAAUCCUUAAAAGGGGGGAGAGUUGUAAUAUCCUGAAUUAGGGCUUAAUCGGAAUAGUGGUUUGGUGACCACAAAUCCGAGAUAGAAAUAAUAAUUUUAUAAUUAUUUUGAUGAUUAUGAUAUGAUUGCAUGAUUGUGUGAAAAUUUCGUGAUGAAAUUCUAUGCCUAAAGUGCUUAAAUUGAAAGUAGGGACUAAAUCGAAUAAGUUGCAAAACUUGCAUUCUAGAAGUUUUUAGUAUGAAAUUGUUUUGGAAUAUUAAUGAGGAGGUCUUAAAUAGAAAUUUGACCAAUUUUAAGUUCAUGGACAAAAUUAUGGACAUGGAAGGAAUUUUGGAAAGUUUAGUAGUAAGGGUAUUUUGGUCAUUUAGUUAUUAAAAUGAAUUAAAAACAAAAUUAAAAGCCAAUUUUUGUCCAUCUUCUUCAUUAGGCCGAAAUUUCAAGGGUUCUCCAUAGCUAGGGUUUGUUUCAAGCUUCCAAGCUCCAUAGUAAGUGAUUCUAAGCCUCGUUUUUAAUGUUCUUUACGUUUUUAGAAUCCCGGUAGCUCGAUUAAGCUUAUGUUAGCAAUAAUUCAACCUAGGGUUUAUAUUUGGAAAAAUACCCAUAGGUGAAAUUUGUGUAUUAUGAUGUUUUAUGAUAGAAUAUGAGGUUUUAAAUUAUGUUAGACAACUUGUGCUACUCGGUUUUGAGUGAAAACGAGUAAAAGGGCUUAAUCGAUAAAAAUAUCUAAUAGUCACAAGUAUAUGUUAGAGAGAGAAUUUGAUGUUGCCAUAGAAGGGAAAAAUGAUCAGCAUGUUAUAAAACAUAAGAAUAAGGAAUAAAGUUUAAUUCCCGAGCCUAGGGGCAAAAGUGUAAUUAUGCAAAAGUUUAGGGGCAAAAGUGUAAUUUUUCCAAAGUUCGUAUUAAAUGCUGUUUUGAUGAAUGUAUGUAUUAAAUAAGAUUAAUUUGGUAUUAUAGAUUAAGAAAAACGAGAUUCAAGUCGCGAUCGAGGAAAAGAAAAGAUUGUGGACUAAAUUGCAAAAUCUUUAUAUUUUGGUACCAAGGUAAGUUCAUGUGUAAAUGUAGUAACAUAAUUGUCAUUUUAAGCAAUUUAAUGUUGUUUAUAUGAUAUGAUGCUGAUUAUUAUCAUGAAAUAUUAUGCUUUGUGGUUAUUGUUGAAUAAUAUGUAAUUAUGUGAAUUACUUGAUGAGUAUGAACUAUCACCGAAGUACCGAUUUCGAUAUUCCAUGGAAGACGGCAAAGAUGUGUCGAGGAAAACGCCCGUUUGAACCUUAGGAAUAGAUUAGGAUACAAGUGACAUGUCACUAGGAUGGUUGAGCAUCCGAACUCGUUGAGUUGAGUCCGAGUUCGUGAAAUGUAACUAGGCAUCUGAACUCAUUGAGUUGAGUUCGAGUUCACUUAUGGAUGCGAACACCCGAGCUCGUUGAGUUGAGUCCGAGUUCACUUAUGGGCGGGUUACAUGGUAGCUUGAUUACAUAUGAGGCACUUAUGUGCAAAUUAUCCGUGUAUCCAAGUUGUAUUCCGAUGUGUUCAACGGGUGAAAUUUCUAGUGAAAUGGAAGAACACUUAAGAUGCAAGCGAUGUUUUGGUAAGUGUUGUGAAAUGGAAACUUUGGACAGGUAUGUUCUUAACCCUCGGGUUGAAAAUAGAUACAACAAUGAUAAGGUGGUAAGAUGAGGAAUGAUGUUUAGAAAUGUGAUAUAUGUUUUGGUGAUACCAUGCUAAAGUUGUUUGGUAUAUUUGUAUUGUUAUGUUACUUGUUAUUUACAUAUGAACUUACUAAGCAUUUAUGCUUACUCUCUCCUCUUUAUUUACUGUAGUUUUGAACAAGCCAGCUCGGGAAUCGGGACGAGUCGAAG